Molecule: long non-coding RNA, 2072 nt
Filed under: Homo sapiens (human)
Lineage: Eukaryota; Metazoa; Chordata; Mammalia; Primates; Hominidae
Description: HSALNT0349184
Source: RNAcentral
GAUUCAAACAGCGGAUAAUACAAGCCAAAGUUUUCUUUCUGUGGAAAAGUUGAUGCGCCUUUUAAGAAGUGAACAACCAAGUUAUUUGCCUGGAAAAGUCUCCUGAAAUACUGAAGUUAUGCUAAAGAAGGAGAAGAGAAAGGAAGCUGCAGUCCCUGUAUAACUCCUAAAUUUUUAAUUUGGAGUUCCUCUUCUUCGGUGCAACAAUCUUUCUGCAUGCACAGAUCCAUGUGGCACUCAUCUCAUCAUUCUGAGGGAAGAAAGAUGCAUAGGGAAUGUUGCAUGUGGUUAUUUCUAACCCACAGAAAACAAUAAAGCACGAGAGAAAAGAGGAUGGCAGUUUACCCAGGAAACAUAGGUUGUGCAAAGCUUUGCAAUGAUACUCUCAAUUCAGAGCAAUGAAGAACAGAAUGCUGUCUUCCCAUAAUGAUGGCAUUCAAUUAUCACUAGACUUACAAGACUACAGAAAAUUUCUCAAGAACCAGUAAGGAUCAGACAGAGCCAAUGACAAUACUGAAGAAGCUUGCCAGUGGAGAAUGAAAGCUCAGUUACACAAAUUACGUUGUUGAACCAGUGCCAGAAAUAAAAUGUGAUGGACAAACUCAUUAAUUAUGAGCGUGAACCAGACAAAACUGAGAAUAAGGUGGGAAUUCCUUCAUAAUCUGUCCCUACUUAGUUGCACCAUAACCAUAAAUAUUGUAAGAGGCAAAAGAGUGGUAAAAAGCUCAUUAACACUGAGAUUAUUCUUGUUAAUUCAUCUGAAUGAGACCUUAACGUACAAAAUAACUUGAAUUACAGAAAAUGUUGAAAAGUUGUAUUUCUUGCACAUCUAAGAUUGAGAGGGAGAUAUAUGUGUGAAUUGUCACGAAAGGCCAUCUUCAAGAUAUCACAAUCAAUCUGUAGAUUAAGGUCAGCCAAUAUAAUAUUCCAACCUGAACCUUUGAAAACUGAACAGGAGUGAGUAUAAUAAUCUCUAGAAAAGCAUCAGUUAAGAUUCUAGCUUGGCCAUCUCCAUCAUCUGUGUCCUUUAUUUCUAAUAACCUUCAAGUUUUCUAUAUAUGACAUUAUCUUUCCAGUCUCCUCGGAAAAAUUGCUCUUCACUUCAAUUAGUUUGAAUCAGUUUAUUUUGCUUUCCACCAAGAGCUGAAAUUUUUCUAAACCUGCACACUCACUUAUGAAGUCCCUAGAGAUUACACGUUACUUGUGUUCCUUAGUCUUCAUUCCUUGUUCUUAUCCUGUUUACUCUUCUAUGCAUCAAUUCUGUGAGAGGCAAAACCAAUUUUUAUGUGUGUAAAAGGGAAAAAAACAUAUGUGCAUAACUAAUGACUUCUGAAAUUUAUUAUGACAAGAACCCUCCCACUCAGAAGAAUUAUGAAGGCUUGUUGUAAAAAAUAAGAAAAUAAGUCUUUGAUAAUGACAGACAACAAUUAGGUUGCUUGGACUUCAGAAUUUUAUUCUAAAUAAACCUUCUAAACUGAACUUACUACCCCAAACCUUGCCUCAAUCUGCCUGUGAUAGUAAGGUAAGAUUUAUUCAAUUCACCAAGUCAGCUAAGAUCAGGUUAACUCUUGCCUUCUCAAAGUGUCCCACUAUCAAGAUAUCCAAGGUAAUCACACCUCUCCUGCAACAAAAAUUUACAAAUACAGCAAGAAUGGUAUAAGAACAAACAUGUGUCCUUACAUUGGUCCUAUUGUGUCCAGAAUUGGUGGGUUCUUGGUCUCACUGACUUCAAGAAUGAAGCCGCGGACCCUCACGGUGAGUGUUACAGUUCUUAAAGAUGGUGUGUCUGCAAUUGUUCAUUUUUUCCAGUGGGUUCAUGGUCUGGCUGGCCUCAGUAGUGAAGCUGCAGGCCUUCAUCUUUAGUGUCACAGUUCCUAAAGGUGGCACGUCCAGAGUUGUUCGUUCCUCCCAUCCAGAGUUAUUCGCCCCUCCUGGUGGGUGGAUUCAUGAUCUCGCUGGCUUCAGGAGUGAAGCUGCAGACCUUCUCGGUGAGAGUUACAGCUCAUAAAGAUGGUGCAGACCGAAAGAAUAAGCAGCAGCAAGAUUUAUUGCAAAGAGCAAAAGAAGCAAAG